CUCAAAGCAGCCUUACUUAGGCUUUCAGAAAAGGCACUCUUGUUUUUGUAAAGUGGUGUGUUUUUAUGAGAUGAUGCCGGGGAAGGUUUUCCGGUUUAUCCCGGAGGGCUUGUAGCUCAAUUGGUUAGAGCGCGCGCUUGAUAAGCGUGAGGUCGGAGGUUCAAGUCCUCCCAGGCCCACCAAUUAUUCUAUCCAUAUUUUGCUUAAGUGCUUAUAGCAUUUUUAAAAAGGGUUGUGGCGCUUAUCUAUUUUGCUUAAGUGCUCCAAAGUUAAAGCAGCUCAAACGUAAAGCGAUGCAAAUUUUGCUAUAAAUUUUGCACUGUCUCUUUAUAACAGUUAGCGCAUAUUUAACAGUUUGAAAUCCUUAUAUCCUGUUUUAGGGGCCGUAGCUCAGCUGGGAGAGCACCUGCUUUGCAAGCAGGGGGUCGUCGGUUCCAUCCCGUCCGGCUCCCCAUUUGGUCAUCAUCAUUGUUGUGAAAACAUUCUUUGUAAAAGG
RNAcentral lists this transfer RNA (496 nucleotides) under Candidatus Bartonella washoeensis. RNAcentral describes it as "Bartonella washoeensis partial 16S-23S ribosomal RNA intergenic spacer". The stretch from base 106 to 179 matches the Rfam family "tRNA". Lineage: Bacteria; Pseudomonadati; Pseudomonadota; Alphaproteobacteria; Hyphomicrobiales; Bartonellaceae. The record is from RNAcentral.